RNAcentral lists this ribosomal RNA (183 nucleotides) under uncultured bacterium. RNAcentral's name for it is "partial 16S ribosomal RNA". It matches the Rfam family "Bacterial small subunit ribosomal RNA", at positions 1319 to 1500 of the family's 1533-position model. The record is from RNAcentral.
CAUGAAGCUGGAAUCGCUAGUAAUCGCAGGUCAGCAUACUGCGGUGAAUACGUUCCCGGGUCCUUGUACACACCGCCCGUCACACCAUGGGAGCCGGAAAUGCCCGAAGCCAGUGACCCAACCUUAGGGAGGGAGCUGUCGAAGGUGGAGCCGGUAACUGGGGUGAAGUCGUAACAAGGUACC